CGCGGGGUGGAGCAGCACNNACGGUAGCUCGUCGGGCUCAUAACCCGAAGGUCGCAGGUUCAAAUCCUGUCCCCGCAACCA
RNAcentral lists this transfer RNA (81 nucleotides) under Bacillus toyonensis. RNAcentral's name for it is "tRNA-Met". It matches the Rfam family "tRNA". Rfam says of the family: Transfer RNA (tRNA) molecules are approximately 80 nucleotides in length. Their secondary structure includes four short double-helical elements and three loops (D, anti-codon, and T loops). Further hydrogen bonds mediate the characteristic L-shaped molecular structure. tRNAs have two regions of fundamental functional importance: the anti-codon, which is responsible for specific mRNA codon recognition, and the 3' end, to which the tRNAs corresponding amino acid is attached (by aminoacyl-tRNA synthetases). tRNAs cope with the degeneracy of the genetic code in two manners: having more than one tRNA (with a specific anti-codon) for a particular amino acid; and 'wobble' base-pairing, i.e. permitting non-standard base-pairing at the 3rd anti-codon position. The record is from RNAcentral. Lineage: Bacteria; Bacillati; Bacillota; Bacilli; Caryophanales; Bacillaceae.